GCAAUUAGUUUUAUACAUGCGAGUUAAAUUAUUCCAGGAAUAAUAGCAGACGAGUGAGUAGAAAAAUGGAACAUACUUACUAUUUGGAAGAGAUCUCCAAUAGUAAAUACACAGUAUUUACGAAAGAUUAAAUCGAUAGUAAAUUGGCCAUUUCAAAAUUAGGUAGUUGGUAAAUUAAAAGCUUACCAAGCCAAAGAUUUUUAACUAAUUUUUAUGAAUGAUUAGUCACGAUGGAACUGAGAACGGUCCAUAUACAUAAAGUAGCAGCAGUAGAGAAUAUUUGACAAUGGACGAAAGUCUGAUCAAGCUAAAUUGCGUGAAGUAAUUUUUAACUUAAUUAAAAUAAUGAUCAAAUUAAGAAGUAGUUCUGGCUAAUCAUGUGCCAGCAGCCGCGGUAAUACAUGAAGAACAAGCAUUAUUUAGAAUAACUAGGUGUAAAGAGUAUUAAGGCGACAUAACAAGAUUAAUCUGAAAGCCCAAAGCUUAACUUUGGAAGCGGUUAAUGACUAGUAUGUUAGAGUUUGAAAGGAUGAAAAUGGAAUGUUUGGUGUAAAGGUAAAAUUUGUUGAUAUCAGAAGGAACACCUAAAGCGUAAACAAUUUUCAACUAAAGACUGACGCUGAUAUACGAAAGCUAAGGGAGUAAAUGGGGAUUAGUUACCCCAGUAAUCUUAGCCGUCAACGAUGAGUGUUAAAUUUUCUAUAUACUAAUAUGGGAGUUACAGUUAACACGUUAAACACUCCACCUGGGUACUACGAUCGCAAGAUUAAAACUCAAAGGAAUAGACGGGAACUUAUUAAAGCGGUGGAACAUGUAAAUUAAUUCGAUAACACACGCAAAAUCCUACCAAUCUUUGUAUAAAAAUAUACUAUUUUUAUCCAAAAGAUAGAUAUAGCAUAUUUUAACAGGUACUGCAUGGUUGUCGUCAGCUCGUGAUGUGAAUUGUAGGGUUAACUCCUGAAACGAGCGGAACUCUCAUUAUUAAUUACAAUUUAAUAAAACGGCCUAUGAUAAAUAGGAGGAAGGUGAGAACUACGUCAAAUACUCAUGGUCCAAAUAGAUUAGGGCUAAUUAUGUGUUACAAUGAUAGUUACAAAAAGAAGCAAUCAUGUAAAUGAAAGCGAAUCUUGAAAAAUUAUCUCAGUACGGAUGUUUGUCUGAAAUUCGACAAACGGAAGAUGGAAUCGCUAGUAAUCAUAGAUCAGCAUGCUAUGGUGAAUUAAAAAUAAAGUUCUGUACUUACUGCCCGUCAAACCUAUUAAAGUUAAAACUAUUGGAAAUAAAUUUAGUAAUUAACUUAUAGAUAUAUGGGAAAUUCGUGAAAUUUCAAGUUAUGUUAGU
This 1341-nucleotide ribosomal RNA is filed under the name uncultured bacterium. Its description in RNAcentral is "bacterial SSU rRNA". It matches the Rfam family "Bacterial small subunit ribosomal RNA". The record is from RNAcentral.